Molecule: long non-coding RNA, 1192 nt
Filed under: Homo sapiens (human)
Lineage: Eukaryota; Metazoa; Chordata; Mammalia; Primates; Hominidae
Description: long non-coding RNA NONHSAT213560.1
Source: RNAcentral
CUUUUUGCCCCCGCCGCCUAAGCUUUUUGCCUGCGCCGCCGCGGCUUUUUGCCCCCCGUCGCCGCGGCUUUUUGCCGCCGCGGCUUUCUGCUCCCGCCGCCGCGGCUCUGAGGGCGGGAGCGGCAGACUCCGCUGCCAGCUCUACUGGCGUCCUGGCAAGGGCAGCGCCGAGGGGCGCUCCCGGUCCAGCUCUCCCGGCUCGGGGGUUCCUUGCCUAGGCGCCCGAGCCCCGGGCUCCCUGCCUCGGCCGCUGUGGCCUGCAUAGGGCGGCACUGCGCGCGGAGGCGAUGGGAGAGAAGAAGGAGGGCGGUGGCGGGGGUGAUGCAGCGGCCGCUGAGGGUGGCGCAGGGGCCCCGGCCAGCCCGGGGCUGCAGCAGUGCGGACAGCUCCAGAAGCUCAUCGGCAUCUCCAUUGGCAGCCUGCGCGGGCUGGGCACCAAGUGCGCUGUGUCCAACGACCUCACCGAGCAGGAGAUACGGACCCUGGAGCAUUGUCCCAAUUCCUUCUUCUAAUGAAGAAAUACGCUUAGUUGAUGAUGCGUUUGGAAAAAUUUGUCACAUGGUCAGUGAUGGCUCUUGGGUGGUUCAUGUUCAGGCAGCAAAACUGUUGGGCUCUAUGGAGCAAGUCAGUUCUCAUUUCUUGGAGCAGACCCUUGACAAGAAGCUGAUGUCAGAUCUGAGGAGGAAACGUACUGCACAUGAGCGUGCCAAGGAACUUUACAGUUCAGGGGAGUUUUCCAGUGGCAGAAAGUGGGAAGAUGAUGCUCCCAAGGAAGAAGUAGAUACCGGGGCUGUGAACUUGAUUGAGUCAGGAGCUUGUGGAGCUUUUGUUCAUGGGUUGGAAGAUGAGAUGUAUGAUACAACAGAGAAAUGCAUAAUGUCCAGCGAAUUUAUUAAAGUUCCAAAGUCGGUCGCGCGCCGUGGCUCACGCCUGUAAUCUCAACACUUCGGGAGGCCGAGGCAUGUGGAUCAUGAGGUCAGGAGUUGGAGACUAGCCUGACCAACAUGGUGAAACCCCGUCACUACUAAAAAUACAGAAAUCAGCCAGGCAUGGUGGCACGCGGCUGUAAUCCCCGCUACUCAGGAGGCUGAGGCAGGAGAAUUGCUUGAACCUGGGAGGCAGAGGUUGCAGUGAGCCGAGAUGGCGCCACUGCACUCCAGCCUGGACGAAAGAGUGAGUGAGACUCCUUCUC